Non-coding RNA from Arachnomyces sp. PD_36, 94 nucleotides. Lineage: Eukaryota; Fungi; Ascomycota; Eurotiomycetes; Onygenales; Arachnomycetaceae. The record is from the annotation of a GenBank genome assembly.
GUAAGCUUGGCCGAGUGGUCUAAGGCGGCAGAUUUAAGUUUUUUCUAAAACUCUGCUCACGAAAGUGGCGCGAGUUCGAACCUCGCAGCUUACA